UGCUUUUGCCCAGUCAAACUAUAUGCGCCGGUCCAAGCACGUACACCCAGAUGGUCGGUGCUAAUUUCCAACCCCAAAUGGGUCGGUGCUAGUUUCCAACCCCAAAUACCAAAACAAAGAUUGAGAAAUUACCUGGUUAGUAGAGAAUAAUGAAAGGGUUUAGAAGAGCAUCCAUCCAACAAGAAGAGCAACUUGCACAAUUAGGCUCUUCAUUGCAAUUAGAAAAUGGAGCAUUAGUUUCAGUUGUUGAACUUCUGUUUCUUACACGAUGGCUUCUUCAUCUUCAUCUUCAUCUGGUGCUCGUUGCAAGUAUGAUGUGUUCCUCAGUUUUAGAGGGGCAGACACCCGCAAGAUCUUCGUCGGCCAUCUUUACAGAGCUCUGAAACAGAAAACAAUCAACACCUUCAUCGAUUCUGAAGAGCUCAGUAAAGGAAACAAGAUUUCGGAGCUACUCACAGCUAUUGAGGACUCGAGGAUUUCGAUUGUAGUUUUUUCUCAAAAGUAUGCAUCUUCCACUUGGUGCUUAAAAGAGCUCGUCAAAAUCCUGGAUUGCAUGGAUACGAAGAAGCAGAUAGUGGUGCCUAUCUUCUACGAAGUAGAUCCCUCUGAUCUACGGAAAAUCAAUGGAAAAUUUGCAGAAGCUUUUGCCAAACACGGAGAGAAUUCUAACCUCGACAACGAAGAGUUGGAAAGCUGGAGGUCCGCUGUAAAUAGAGUCGCGGAUCUAUCUGGCUGGGAUUCGACCAAAUAUGAGGAUGAUGGCAAGCUUGUUGAGGAAAUUGUUGAAAAUACUUUAAAAAAACUGAUCCACACUUCGUCCAAUAAAGCUGAUGGCUUGGUUGGAAUGGAUUCCCACAUUACAGAAAUGAAUUCAAGAUUAUGUAUUCAGGUUAAUGAUGUUCGUGUUGUUGGAAUAUGGGGUAUGGGCGGUUUAGGAAAAACAACCAUUGCUAGAGCUGUUUUUGACGAAAUUGCUUGCCAAUUUGAACACUCCUGCUUUCUUGAUAAUGUCAAAGAAGCUUUUAUAAACAAGCGUGAAGUACAAAUGCAGGAAGCACUUAUAUCUAUAUUGCUGAAGGAAAAGGUGCAGAGUCUGGGUUUGAACAGAGGUUGGAAUAUGAUAAAGGAAAGGCUAGGUUUGAAAAAAGUCUUGGUUGUUCUUGAUGAUGUGGAAACUUUUGCCCAAAUAGAAGCCUUGCUUGGAAAACUACAUGCAUUUGGUGAGGGAAGUAGGCUCAUUGUAACAACUAGAAAUAAGCAAUCGCUAAGUGGAGUUAAUGAGACGUUCAAGCCAUCGUAUUUAAGGGAUGAUGAAGCUCUCGAGCUGUUUCGGAAAUAUGCUUUCAGAACAAAUCAACCCAACAGAGAUUACGAUCAUCUAUCAAGGCGUGCCAUAGAAUAUGCUCAAGGUUUGCCUUUAGCACUUAAAGUCUUGGGGGCAUUUCUUGAUAACAAAAGUGUAUGUGAAUGGGAAGUCGUGUUGGAGAAAUUGAAGAAAAUCCCACACAUAGAAAUUCAGGAUGUGCUUAGAACAAGCUUUGAUGGACUGGACGAUUCAGAGAAAAACAUAUUCCUAGAUAUUGCAUGUCUCUUUAGAAAAUGGCGCACAAAUUUUGUAACGGAAUUACUGGACAGUUUUGGCUUCUUUCCCCACAAUGGAUUAAGAGUUCUAGUUGACAGAGCUCUCAUAACUUCGUCAAAUUACAGAGUCGACAUGCAUGAUUUAUUACAAGAAAUGGGUAGAGAAAUCGUCCGCCUAGAAUCUACUAAAAAACCUGGGAAGCGUAGCAGGUUGUGGAGUUACAAAGAUGUUAAUCACGUGUUGACUCAAAAUACGGCUACGGAUGCAAUUGAAUGCUUAAUGCUAGACUUGUCGAACUCAAAAGUUGACCUAAGCAUAAAUGCUGAGGCCUUUGUAAGGAUGACGAAGCUAAGACUGCUAAUAAUCUGUUAUUCAUUCCCCGUAUACCUAUUUCCAUAUAGCGAGUGCCGCAAGAAUAUAUGCCCAGUAGGUGGUUGUAAACAACUCUUGAGGGGGGACUUCGAGUUUCUUUCCCAUGAAUUGAGGUUUCUCUUAUGGCAUGGAUGCCCGGUAAAGUGUUUGCCAUCAUCUUUUAUCCCGAAGAAUCUUGUUCACCUUGACAUGCGUGGUAGUCACAUUCGAGAACUUUGGGAAGGAAUCAAGCCCCUACAAAAUCUGAGAGUCAUCAAGUUAAGUCACUGUCGAUACCUUGUCAAAAUCCCCGACUUAACUGAGGCGAUAAAUCUUGAGACACUACUUCUUGAUGGCUGUUCAAGUUUAUUUGAGGUUCAUUCAUCCAUUUCUGCUCUUCAAAACCUUCAUUUAUUGGAUCUAACCGGGUGCAAAAUACUCAAGAUUCUCCCAAAGAGAAUUCAUAUGAAAUCUCUACAGACCCUCUGUCUUUCGGGCUGCUCAAAUCUUGAAAAGUUUCCGGAGAUUUCAGGAAUCAUGAAGGAGCUAUCAAUGCUUCGUUUAGAUGGGACCGCAAUUAAAGGACUGCCCUCAUCAAUUGAUCUGCUUCUGAGGAUUAAAAAAUUGAGUGUGCGGAACUGCAAAAGCCUUGAAUUUCUUCCCGACAGUAUCUGUAAUUUGGCAAACCUUACACAUAUGAAUCUGUCUGGGUGCUCAGUACUUCAUUACUUGCCUGAGAAAUUGGGGGACUUGGAAUCCUUGGAGGUCCUCGAUGUAGGAUAUAGUGGUAUAAAACAACUUCCAUUCUCUGUCCUACGUUUGGGAAAGCUUAAAGGUGGAUUAUCAUGUAUUGGAUGUAAAAAGAUGACGGCACCCUUGUCAGCCUGGCCAUCAUCAAUCGAAGAAUAUUGUAGUUACUCUGUUCUGCUACGUCUUGAUUUAAGUGACUGCAAUCUGUUGGAGUUAUCGGAUGGUAUUGCUCAUUUAUAUUCAUUGAAAACAUUAAGGCUGUGCAGAAACAAAUUGGAGAGCUUACCUGUGACAGUGAAUCGACUUCGUUGUCUAACGCAUCUUGAAUUGGAAGCUUGUAAGCGACUGAAGUCGGUACCUGAGCUUUCAUCGAGUGUAAUACGCAUAGAUGCACAUGAUUGCACAGCUCUGGAAACAGUUUCAAGACGAAAGACUGAUCCAGUAUGUAGAAUUCUAGACUUCAGGUUUUCUAAUUGCUUCCGGCUUCAAGCAAAUUUGUUUAUAGAUAUUGUUGAGACUGAGACUUAUUCUCUCGACCAGGACAGUCAUCUGCGACCUCUGUGGUUCCACAUGUGGCUUCCUGGAAGUGAAGUUCCAGAAUGGUUCAACCUUCGGGAUACAGGAUGUUCAGAAACUUUUCGGAAGACAGGAUGUUCAGCAACUUUCCAAGCACCACUGAAUAGUUUCAAUAACAAGCUUUUAGGAUUUGCUAUAUGCAUUGUUAUUAAAUUCAAUGGUGCUUGUCAUGAUGUAUCUGAUAUGUAUGGAAGAUGUUAUUGGACCUCAAAAGGAAAACAUGGUGAGUACUCCUUCGAAUUUGAUUUGCUCGGCCGGCAGUUCGGAAUUUACAGUAUAGAGUCAGAUCACCUGUUCAUGGCAUAUUUGCCAUGGUCUGGAUAUGGCAGGAUUUCACAAGAUAGAUUAGAUGCAUUCAAGAUUGUAGUAGAAACUGGAACUUAUUCGCCGACAGAAGAUUGGUUUACUAGUGGCUGCGGUGUUCGUUUAGUUUAUGCUCACGAUGAGAUGCAAAAUAGCGUGACACAGCCCCUAAUUCAUGUAGAUGGCCAGACAAUGGAGGAUGCGGUGCAGCAGGGGGAGGGGUGCUGUGCUAUAGGAGGGGUGUCGGGGAUUGGCGCACCUUUCUUUACGGACCCGUUGGAAAUAAGAAAGAGUGAAACAGAGUUGGAGGCAGAGUCAUCGGAGUCGCGUGAGGAGAGAGGCACGUGCCAAAUAUUGGAGCUGUUACCAGAGCCGCAGACCGAGAGAAAAGAAGAGGAGGAGGGAGAGGGGUGCCAGGCGUUAGGGUCGGCAUUCUCUCUGAGAAAGAAAGAAACAGAAAGAGAAGGAGACAGAGUCACCAGAAUCUCGGACGAGGGGGAGAUAUCGGAGUUGGGCAGCCACAGUGAUCUGGUGGUGCCAAAUUCACAGAGUGAGGGCAAAGAAGAGAAAGAAUUGAUGGGGGAGGAGUCGUUGGAGAGGGUUGUUAGGGCCGCUGUGCAGCUGCUUUUACUGGCUGGGUGAAGUAUGGCGUGGAAAUAUAGAGAAGUGGCAGAAGCAGAGGACUUUGGCUUGCAUGAAAGGAAAAAAGAUUAGUUGAAGAGUUGACAGUAAUGAUCCAAGAGUUCUCUUCUGAGGAUUGUUCGGGCAAAAAUUUCAGCACUUGAUGUUACUAUCAUGAGGAUUGUUGAAAAUAUCACCAUGAUUUGCCCUCAGUAGUGUAAAUCUGAGCGUUUGAACUAAGUAAAAGUGAGAACAUAUGAAGUUAGCAACAAAUUUGUGGCGGAAAACGUAUGCUUCUCUAUUCUAAAGUUCUGUAGUCAAUGGCUUGGACAGAAAAAACUCACUGGCCCUUUUAUUCACACACAGCUCAAUAACCCUCAUCUUCUC
Molecule: RNA transcript, 4570 nt
Organism: Rosa rugosa (rugosa rose)
Lineage: Eukaryota; Viridiplantae; Streptophyta; Magnoliopsida; Rosales; Rosaceae
Gene name: TMV resistance protein N-like
Exons: 6
Source: RefSeq, a predicted model, not a curated record